AUUUUCUCAGUGUUAGGCACGAGAAGAUUUGAGCUUCUAAGAGGGCUUUGCCCAGAAAAUA
This 61-nucleotide transfer RNA is filed under the name Thuridilla gracilis. RNAcentral describes it as "tRNA-Gln". Lineage: Eukaryota; Metazoa; Mollusca; Gastropoda; Plakobranchidae. The record is from RNAcentral.